RNAcentral lists this transfer RNA (88 nucleotides) under Halorhodospira neutriphila. RNAcentral's name for it is "tRNA-Ser". It matches the Rfam family "tRNA". From Rfam's summary of the family: Transfer RNA (tRNA) molecules are approximately 80 nucleotides in length. Their secondary structure includes four short double-helical elements and three loops (D, anti-codon, and T loops). RNAcentral also lists the same sequence under 1 other name. The record is from RNAcentral. Lineage: Bacteria; Pseudomonadati; Pseudomonadota; Gammaproteobacteria; Chromatiales; Ectothiorhodospiraceae.
GGAGAGGUGGCCGAGCGGUCGAAGGCGCACGCCUGGAAAGCGUGUGUACCGAAAGGUACCGAGGGUUCGAAUCCCUCCCUCUCCGCCA